AGUGAACGCUGGCGGUAGGCCUAACACAUGCAAGUCGAACGGCAGCACAGGAGAGCUUGCUCUCUGGGUGGCGAGUGGCGGACGGGUGAGGAAUACAUCGGAAUCUACUCUGUCGUGGGGGAUAACGUAGGGAAACUUACGCUAAUACCGCAUACGACCUACGGGUGAAAGCAGGGGACCUUCGGGCCUUGCGCGAUUGAAUGAGCCGAUGUCGGAUUAGCUAGUUGGCGGGGUAAAGGCCCACCAAGGCGACGAUCCGUAGCUGGUCUGAGGGGAUGAUCAGCCACACUGGAACAGAGACACGGUCCAGACCCCUACGGGAGGCAGCAGUGGGGAAUAUUGGACAAUGGGCGCAAGCCUGAUCCAGCCAUACCGCGUGGGUGAAGAAGGCCUUCGGGUUGUAAAGCCCUUUUGUUGGGAAAGAAAUCCAGCUGGCUAAUACCCGGUUGGGAUGACGGUACCCAAAGAAUAAGCACCGGCUAACUUCGUGCCAGCCGCCGCCGUAA
Molecule: ribosomal RNA, 506 nt
Filed under: uncultured bacterium
Lineage: Bacteria
Description: partial 16S ribosomal RNA
Rfam family: Bacterial small subunit ribosomal RNA
Source: RNAcentral